Vicia faba (fava bean) is the source of this 537-nucleotide non-coding RNA. The record is from the annotation of a GenBank genome assembly. NCBI's taxonomy places the organism in Eukaryota, Viridiplantae, Streptophyta, Magnoliopsida, Fabales, Fabaceae.
AUACAACUCACUACGAGACCGUACAAAGUUAUUACAACCAAACAAAAGAAAAGGGAAAUUACAAAAGCCGGUUUCAGUAAGAUUCUCCAUGGAUUCCUUUUUCACUGUUCUAACAGAUUUCCAAUUCGAAGGUUGUGUCAUUGGCUUCACUUGGUUUAUGGUGCCCAUUGCUUCAAGAAAAUCACUAUUUUUCAGUAUAAAUCAAAUAGGGAAAACUAUCAUGAUGCAUUGAUUCAAAUGCUGUCGAACCAAAGGGUAUUUUGUUCUGGUAAUGGCAUGCCGACGAGAAAUCUCAGUGAUCAACAUCAGGUGUUGUGUUGUAAGAGAUUGAUGGUGACAAAUGUUAAGACGAUGUUCGAGAGAUUGAAUGAAUCAAAGACGUCACCAGGAUAUGCAGCACUUUUGAUCCUACUCCACAUGUUCAUUUUGAAAGAGUUCAAUAGGAAUCCCAUGAUGCACAAAACCUGCUCCUAUGACAUAAACCAGACCUGCAUAGUCAAAGGAAAAACAUCAAAUACCAUGAAGCUAUUCACAUAA